Molecule: ribosomal RNA, 1343 nt
Filed under: freshwater sediment metagenome
Description: bacterial LSU rRNA
Rfam family: Bacterial large subunit ribosomal RNA
Source: RNAcentral
GACUUGCCUCGCAAGAGGUGAGUGGUAGGGGAGCAUUCUCUUCGCUGUGAAGGUUGACCGGCAAGGACAACUGGAGCGUAGAGAAGAGAUUAUGCAGGCAUAAGUAGCGAUAAACGAUGUGAGAAUCAUCGUCCCCGUAAGCCUAAGGUUUCCUGGCCUAUGUUCGUCAGGUCAGGGUCAGUCGGGUCCUAAGCCGAGGUCGAGAGACGUAGGCGAUGGUAAACAGGUCAACAUUCCUGUACCACUGUCAUGGCGUUAUCAGCGAAGGGGGGACGCAGAAGGGUAGGCACCGCCGGGUCGCUGGAAUGCCCGGUCCAAGCACGUAGGCGGGUCUCGUAGGCAAAUCCGCGAGGCCGUUAACGCCGAGAUGUGAUGGGGAGGCCGCAAGGCCAUAAACGGACUGAUCCCAUGCUGCCGAGAAAAGCCUCGUAGCGAGUCAUGAUAGUGUCCGUACCGCAAACCGACACAGGUAGGCCGGUAGAAUAUACCAAGGGGCGUGAGAGAACCCUCCCUAAGGAACUUUGCAAUCUAGCCCCGUAACUUCGGGAGAAGGGGUGCCUCGCGUAGGUAAGGGUGUACAAUCCAAGCCGAACGAGGUUGCAAUAAAGUGGCUCUAGCGACUGUUUACCAAAAACACAGGACUCUGCGAACACGCAAGUGGACGUAUAGGGUCUGACGCCUGCCCGGUGCUGGAAGGUUAACCGGAGGAGUUAGCCGCAAGGCAAAGCUUUGAAGGGAAGCCCCAGUAAACGGCGGCCGUAACUAUAACGGUCCUAAGGUAGCGAAAUUCCUUGUCGGGUAAGUUCCGACCUGCACGAAUGGCGUAACGAUCUGACGACUGUCUUAACAAUCCGCCCGGCGAACUUGUGGUUCCGGUGAAGACGCCGGAUGCCCGCAUCAAGACGGAAAGACCCCGUGCACCUUUACUAUACCCUAUCAAUGAACUAUGGGGUGCUCUGCGCAGGAUAUGUGGGAGGCUUGGAACCCGGGUUUUUGGACUCGGGGGAGCCAGCGGUGAGAUACCACCCUGAGCAUUCUGUGGUUCUAACUUGCUCCCGUAAACCGGGAGAAGGACAUUGGUAGGCGGGUAGUUUGACUGGGGCGGUCGCCUCCUAAACGGUAACGGAGGCGCUCGAAGCUUGGUUCAGGAGGCUUGGAAAUCCUCCAUCGAGUGCAAAGGCAUAAACCAGGUUGACUGCGAGACCUACAAGUCAAGCAGGUGCGAAAGCAGGACUUAGUGAUCCGGUGGUUCUGAAUGGAAGGGCCAUCGCUCAACGGAUAAAAGGUACGCCGGGGAUAACAGGCUGAUCGGAGUCAAGAGUUCACAUCGACGCUCCGGUUUG